CUUGGGUACUCGAGUGGCGAACGGGUGAGUAACACGUGGGUGAUCUGCCCUGCACUUCGGGAUAAGCCUGGGAAACUGGGUCUAAUACCGGAUAGGACCACAUUUUGGAUGGUGUGGUGGAAAGUUUUUCGGUGUGGGAUGAGCUCGCGGCCUAUCAGCUUGUUGGUGGGGUAAUGGCCUACCAAGGCGUCGACGGGUAGCCGGCCUGAGAGGGUGUACGGCCACAUUGGGACUGAGACACGGCCCAG
Molecule: ribosomal RNA, 248 nt
Filed under: uncultured Actinomycetales bacterium
Lineage: Bacteria; Bacillati; Actinomycetota; Actinomycetes; Actinomycetales
Description: partial 16S ribosomal RNA
Rfam family: Bacterial small subunit ribosomal RNA
Source: RNAcentral